This 821-nucleotide long non-coding RNA is filed under the name Eutrema salsugineum. Its description in RNAcentral is "long non-coding RNA (ESAL_LNC001568)". Lineage: Eukaryota; Viridiplantae; Streptophyta; Magnoliopsida; Brassicales; Brassicaceae. The record is from RNAcentral.
CGUAGUUACAACGUAACUCGCUGAAAUACCUCGACAUCAUUGACAUCGACAUCCUAGCUAGAUGCGCGAUCCAUAAAAAAUGCAUUCCCAGUAGUGCAAUUUCUUAUAAGUCCUAAGGAACAAAAACCUUAUGACUAUACGAAAGUAAGCCGGGCCCAGUCCCGCAUAAUCUCUUAGAUCGCACGAGUAAAAAUGCCGAACACAUCUUCGCUACUCGGAUGCGAUCUAAGAAGCUAACAGGUGGGCCGAUCUAAUAUUCUCACCUACAGCAUACUAAACCGAGUCCUUACUCGUAAACAAAACAGGAUAAGCCGAGGUCUUACCUCACACCUACAGAUCUAAUAAGCCGAGUUCCCACUUCGCAUUUAUUUCAGUCUAUAUAUAUAUGUUCGAUUAACCAAGUUCAAACUCGCAUUAUAUUACUCGUCAAUCUUGUAGCUAGAUAGCUCGUCAACCUCGCAGCUCGUCAUCCUCGCAGCUUGUCGACCUCACAGCUCGUCGACCUCGCAGCUUGUUGACCUCGCAGCUUUGCGGAUCCUCGUCUAUACGACUUUGAGCUCGUCAAUCUCGCAGCUUGUCGACCUCGCAGCUCGUCAACCUCGCAACUUGUUGAACUCGCAGCUCGUCGACCUCGCAGCUUGUCGACCUUGCAGUUCAUCAACCUUGCAGCUUUGCGGCUCCUCGUCUAUUUGACUUUGAGCUCGUCAACCUCGCAGUUUGUCGACCUCGCAGCUCGUCAACUUCGCAGCUUGUCGACUUCGUAACUUGUCGACCUCGCAGCUCGUCGACCUCGCAGCUUGUCGACCUCGCAGCUUGUCGAC